This 403-nucleotide ribosomal RNA is filed under the name Lacticaseibacillus casei. RNAcentral's name for it is "bacterial SSU rRNA". It matches the Rfam family "Bacterial small subunit ribosomal RNA", at positions 471 to 872 of the family's 1533-position model. Lineage: Bacteria; Bacillati; Bacillota; Bacilli; Lactobacillales; Lactobacillaceae. The record is from RNAcentral.
GACGGUAUCCAACCAGAAAGCCACGGCUAACUACGUGCCAGCAGCCGCGGUAAUACGUAGGUGGCAAGCGUUAUCCGGAUUUAUUGGGCGUAAAGCGAGCGCAGGCGGUUUUUUAAGUCUGAUGUGAAAGCCCUCGGCUUAACCGAGGAAGCGCAUCGGAAACUGGGAAACUUGAGUGCAGAAGAGGACAGUGGAACUCCAUGUGUAGCGGUGAAAUGCGUAGAUAUAUGGAAGAACACCAGUGGCGAAGGCGGCUGUCUGGUCUGUAACUGACGCUGAGGCUCGAAAGCAUGGGUAGCGAACAGGAUUAGAUACCCUGGUAGUCCAUGCCGUAAACGAUGAAUGCUAGGUGUUGGAGGGUUUCCGCCCUUCAGUGCCGCAGCUAACGCAUUAAGCAUUCCGC